CUCUGAGUGGUUCCACUGACACCAUGCUGUAAUGACCUUCGUUGCAUGUGCUCGGAAUAAGUUGAAACUACACAGUACCUAUCUUAUAGAAGAGAUUCUCUGUUCAACAACAAGUCUAAUAAGAUGUUUGUAACAAAACAAUUCACUUCUGCAAAACUCUGAUUUCGAAAUAGUUAAAUUCAAAAAUCAAGAGAUUCUGUUUGUUUGGAUUCCUAUAGAAAGCUGAAACACCGAAAAAGAAUAGAGAUUACAUACCUGGUAACCUAUGAAGAAUAAGGAUUCCACACCUGUUAAUACAACAUUACUACUGUCAUUUGUAAAUUGAACAUUUUUCAUAUUAUAUUGUAGGUUUGGGUUUCUAUAGAAAGCUGAAACACCGAAAAAGAAUAGAGAUUACACACCUGGUAACCUAUGAAGAAUAAAGAUUCCACACCCGUUAAUACAACAUUACUGCUGCCAUUUGUAAAUGGAACAUUUUCCUGUUUUUUUCUUUAACGUUACGUGUCUGCAGAGAAAGCGGAUGCAAGGCCAAAGACAGGCUUCCAACAACAUCGAUGGUCCAUGAGAAAGUAAAGAAAA
Molecule: long non-coding RNA, 579 nt
Organism: Limulus polyphemus (Atlantic horseshoe crab)
Lineage: Eukaryota; Metazoa; Arthropoda; Merostomata; Xiphosura; Limulidae
Exons: 3
Source: RefSeq, a predicted model, not a curated record